RNAcentral lists this long non-coding RNA (489 nucleotides) under Physcomitrium patens. Its description in RNAcentral is "long non-coding RNA (PPAT_LNC011399)". The record is from RNAcentral. Lineage: Eukaryota; Viridiplantae; Streptophyta; Bryopsida; Funariales; Funariaceae.
UUAAUUACAAAAUUACAGUUAGAAUCUGGAGAAUCAAGGGAAAGUAUAUAGAAGUUGUAGAAGUUAAUUAAGGUGCCAUCACUGUGAUAGUUGUGAGCCGAGGUAAGCUUGGUGCUACCUCUUUUCUUUUGUUUGUUAUUUUCUUUGAAUAAGAGGAUUGAGAGUUUUUGAAUAUUGUGAAGUGAAUUAUGGAAUGGAAAUAUGAUUGGUAUUAUUUGAGAAGAAAAAAGAUUGAAUGCUGAAAUCUGGUUGUAGUUCAGCAGAGAGAAUGAGUCUAUGUUUGCGUGAAACACCAUAAUAUAAAUGGCAGUUUUGUAAAAAGAAUUCUAGUGAUUGGAAUGAGGGUAAUUGUGUGCUGAAAGCUGUGAGGGUGCAGUAUUACAGUUGGAGAUUAUGAGGGUGAAUAUAUUGGUAGAAAUAGCAUUUAUUGGUAUGAUUGAAUUGCUGCAAGAAAGAGACCGAUAAGGUGAAGGAAGAGAUUAUAGUUUC